Non-coding RNA from Salvelinus sp. IW2-2015, 497 nucleotides. Lineage: Eukaryota; Metazoa; Chordata; Actinopteri; Salmoniformes; Salmonidae. The record is from RefSeq and is a predicted model, not a curated record.
ACUGCAGAUGCAUGAGGAGAUGGAGGCGUUUGAGUCGUCCGAGGACUCCCCUGCAGUACCUGGAGAAACUGUGAUGAAGAAGGGGAUUAGAACCGGUACCCCCUGGAGGAUGAACAAGAGGUUCAAGGUUCUCUCUAAUGUGAGGAAAAAGGCAACCAUGGUUUCCAGCUGCUCAAUUUUGGAGGCUGCUCAGAGGCGGCGAAACAACAGCGAGACAAAAUGUUGCCCACAGGGCCAUUGGGUGUGACUCCCCCUGUGCCACUUUUAAAGCACCGUACCAUGCAACAGGAGAAAAUACCCUUAGUCAACGAGAAUGAAGUGUCUGAAAUGAGCAAGCCUCCAUCUCCAGAAAGACCCUGGCUGCAGCAUCUGGCCUGUCCACAUGUAUGGCCUCCACCCAGGUUGCCCAGUCAGCCCCAUUCUCUCCACCUCCAUCUGAUCAAUAUACCAGACCGCCAACAGUAGCCACCCCACCUACAUCAGCCGUGCCCAGUAAG